GAGAGAUGGCAGAGUUGGUCUAAUGCACCUGACUUGAAAUCAGACGUGGAUGAAACAUUCCACCGUGGGUUCGAAUCCUACUCUCUCC
RNAcentral lists this transfer RNA (88 nucleotides) under bovine gut metagenome. It matches the Rfam family "tRNA". From Rfam's summary of the family: Transfer RNA (tRNA) molecules are approximately 80 nucleotides in length. Their secondary structure includes four short double-helical elements and three loops (D, anti-codon, and T loops). The record is from RNAcentral.